Molecule: ribosomal RNA, 253 nt
Filed under: uncultured bacterium
Lineage: Bacteria
Description: partial 16S ribosomal RNA
Rfam family: Bacterial small subunit ribosomal RNA
Source: RNAcentral
UACGUAGGGGGCUAGCGUUGUCCGGAAUCAUUGGGCGUAAAGCGCGUGUAGGCGGUCCGGUAAGUCCGCUGUGAAAGUCGGGGGCUCAACCCUCGGAUGCCGGUGGAUACUGUCGGGCUUGAGUACGGAAGAGGCGAGUGGAAUUCCUGGUGUAGCGGUGAAAUGCGCAGAUAUCAGGAGGAACACCAAUUGCGAAGGCAGCUCGCUGGGACGUUACUGACGCUGAUGCACGAAAGCCAGGGGAGCGAACGGG